CCUACGGGGGGCUGCAGUGGGGAAUAUUGGACAAUGGGCGCAAGCCUGAUCCAGCCACGCCGCGUGAGUGAUGAAGGCCUUCGGGUCGUAAAGCUCUGUGUGGAGGGACGAACCGCUGUCGGUUAAUACCCGGCAGCAUGACGGUACCUCCUUAGCAAGCACCGGCUAACUUCGUGCCAGCAGCCGCGGUAAUACGAAGGGUGCAAACGUUGCUGUAAAUUAUUCGGCGUCGAGCUCACGUAGGCGACGUGAAAGCCCUCGGCUUAACCAAGGAAGUGCAUCCAAAACUGCUGAGCUGGAGUAGUUAAGAGGAUCGCGGAAUUCCCGGUGUAGAGGUGAAAUUCGUAGAUAUCGGGAGGAACACCAGUGGCGAAGGCGGCGAUCUGGGAACAUACUGACGCUGAGGUGCGAAAGCGUGGGGAGCAAACAGGAUUAGAUACCCGAGUAGUC
RNAcentral lists this ribosomal RNA (450 nucleotides) under uncultured bacterium. RNAcentral's name for it is "partial 16S ribosomal RNA". It matches the Rfam family "Bacterial small subunit ribosomal RNA", at positions 338 to 795 of the family's 1533-position model. The record is from RNAcentral.